This 59-nucleotide transfer RNA is filed under the name Ismarus sp. ZJUH_2016020. RNAcentral's name for it is "tRNA-Ser". The record is from RNAcentral. Lineage: Eukaryota; Metazoa; Arthropoda; Insecta; Hymenoptera; Diapriidae.
GAAAUAAAUUAAUUAGAACUUCUAAUUCUAAAAAUUAAUGUUAUAUCAUUAUUAUUUCU